ACACAUGCAAGUCGAACGGAAAGGCCCUGCUUGCAGGGUGCUCGAGUGGCGAACGGGUGAGUAACACGUGGGUGAUCUGCCCCUUACUUUGGGAUAAGCCUGGGAAACUGGGUCUAAUACUGGAUAGGACCAUGCUGUAGGUGGUGUGGUGGAAAGAUUUUUUCGGUAAGGGAUGAGCUCGCGGCCUAUCAGCUUGUUGGUGGGGUAAUGGCCUACCAAGGCGUCGACGGGUAGCCGGCCUGAGAGGGUGGACGGCCACAUUGGGACUGAGAUACGGCCCAGACUCCUACGGGAGGCAGCAGUGGGGAAUAUUGCACAAUGGGCGCAAGCCUGAUGCAGCGACGCCGCGUGGGGGAUGACGGCCUUCGGGUUGUAAACUCCUUUCAGCCAUGACGAAGCCUCUUUUGGGGUGACGGUAGUGGUAGAAGAAGCACCGGCUAACUACGUGCCAGCAGCCGCGGUAAUACGUAGGGUGCGAGCGUUGUCCGGAWUACUYGGGCGUAAAGAGCUCGUAGGUGGUCUGUCGCGUCAUUUGUGAAAGCCCGGGGCUUAACUCCGGGUUGGCAGGUGAUACGGGCAUGACUGGAGUACUG
RNAcentral lists this ribosomal RNA (593 nucleotides) under Corynebacterium kroppenstedtii. Its description in RNAcentral is "bacterial SSU rRNA". It matches the Rfam family "Bacterial small subunit ribosomal RNA", at positions 51 to 651 of the family's 1533-position model. The record is from RNAcentral. Lineage: Bacteria; Bacillati; Actinomycetota; Actinomycetes; Mycobacteriales; Corynebacteriaceae.